CACCAAAGACUACGCUGAUCGCGACUGGGUUUAUUUUGUUGUUUUAUGUAGAGGUUUUAACUCUCUUCUCACGUUGGCGCUGUCAUCGCGCAUUCCACUAAACUGCUCAGUUUGUUUCAGGUGGUCGCGAUCGUCGGACGCGGAGUGGCAAAAGUGUGAAGACCGCGAGCGCGCGCGAGUUUUAGUGAGAGUUGACAUCAGCACAAAAGGCAAAAACGCAACUUGGUGGUGGUGUUGUGUCGACAAGGUUGGAAUUUAGUGUCCUGCGACCCUAUGACAAUCAACAUGUGAAAAUCCAAGUGGGGCACGUGACACCCGAUCUAAUCGUGUUCAUACCAAAAAGUUGAUAAGUGAUGAAUGUGUGUGGGAUGAUUUGGAGCCAGAAGAAAAGUAAAUUGUGAGUGCAGAGUGCCAGAAAAGAGAAAUUUAAUUUGAUAGUUUAAGAAAGCAGGAGGGAGUGUAAACUGAAUUAAAUAGCGCUCCAAGCGGUGCUGGAGAGGAUGAUGGGGAACCCAAACUACGGUUACAUGAGCCCGCCGUGGCAAUUGAACGCGCUGAAAGCUACUUCAUUGCUAAUUGGGAUGCUCUUCCUCUUGGGAUCUAUCAACAAGGUGAGUGGAAACUAACUGAUAAUUCAACUUGAGUGGGUUAUACAUAUGUAUCGAAUGCAACCGAGGUACAUUGUAAGCAGGUACAUGAUUUCUGAUCGGUUUACUUGAUGAGGCGUUUCAUAUGCAGAAACAUAUGUUUACGGUCAAUUAUUUGGAUUAAUUUAAUUAUUUUAGGUGCUGAGUUCUUCUAUGUGGGGUUCUUGAAUGCGGUGUUGUAAGGGAACUGCGCAUAUUAAAGCACUGCAGUCUUUAUCGUGAAAUAGUUGGAGUAAAACGUUAAAAAAAAAUAUUUUAUAUCAACAAAAUAUAAUUUUUAUCUAAACAAUAAUUAUUUAAGUGUGUUUCAAAGUUUGUAUUAAAAGUUUGAAAACAACAAAAUAAAGGUAUCGUAUGAAAUUUGAUAGUUUGUAUUUAAAAACAUAGAAAUAAUACGUUGUUAUAUAACUUUUAACGACUUGUUCAUUUUACCUCAUCGAUUGCCCAUUUUACCCCCACCGAUUUUUUUCACGCUAUUUCUAUGCACGUUUUGGUGAAGAAAAUAAUCAAUGAAAACAAUAUUUUUUAAAUGCAAUCCAUUUACAAGAUUUCUAGAAUAUAUCAUUAUCUUCCAUGUUACUCGUAGAAGCCGAUGGAUUUUGCCGUAUUUCCACUGGAAACGACCAAAAUGCUUAGGUUGUCCACUUUACCCCCACCACCCCUACCUUAUUUUGCUUGGUGCAACUUGGGCCGGAACACCCUUUAGUGGUCAUGUGAAAUUUUUCUUGCUACUAAAACUUUCAUAGCAAAGCUUUGACCUACUUUCAAAUAGGGAACCUCUAUGGUGAUAAUUGGUACC
Long non-coding RNA from Aedes albopictus (Asian tiger mosquito), 1446 nucleotides. RefSeq lists it as uncharacterized. The transcript has 2 exons. NCBI's taxonomy places the organism in Eukaryota, Metazoa, Arthropoda, Insecta, Diptera, Culicidae. The record is from RefSeq and is a predicted model, not a curated record.